RNAcentral lists this ribosomal RNA (898 nucleotides) under uncultured bacterium. RNAcentral describes it as "bacterial SSU rRNA". It matches the Rfam family "Bacterial small subunit ribosomal RNA", at positions 1 to 892 of the family's 1533-position model. The record is from RNAcentral.
GCCCUUGAGUUUGAUCCUGGCUCAGGACGAACGCUGGCGGCGUGGAUUAGGCAUGCAAGUCGAACGGUAGGGACCUUUCGGGGUUCUGAGAGUGGCGAACGGGUGAGUAACACGUAGGUUAUCUACCCUCAAAUUGGGGACAACCCAGGGAAACUUGGGCUAAUACCGAAUGAGUGCAGUUUUAGGAUUGCAUAAAAGAUGGCGUAAGCUGUUGUUUGAGGAUGAGCCUGCGCUCUAUUAGUUAGUUGGUGAGGUAACGGCUCACCAAGGCGAUGAUAGAUAGGCGGCCUUAACGGGUGGUCGCCCACACUGGGAUUGAGAUACGGCCCAGACUCCUACGGGAGGCAGCAGUCGAGAAUAGUCUACAAUGGACGAAAGUCUGAUAGUGCGACGCCGCGUGAACGAUGAAUCCCUUCGGGGUGUAAAGUUCUUUUAUAUGUGAGCAAUGCCUUAUAUGUGAAUAGCAUGUAGGGAGAGAUAUUAGCAUAUGAAUAAGCAACGGCUAACUCCGUGCCAGCAGCCGCGGUAACACGGGGGUUGCUAGCGUUGUCCGGAAUUACUAGGCGUAAAGGGCAGGUAGGCGGAUAGAUAAGUUUAAUGUUAAAGGCGACGGCUUACCCGUCGUAAGGCGUUAGAUACUGUUUAACUGGAAUACGGUUGGGGAAGACAGAAUUCCUGGUGUAGCGGUGGAAUGCGCAGAGAUCAGGAGGAAUACCAAAAGCGAAGGCAGUCUUCUAAGCCGUUAUUGACGCUAAACUGCGAAGGUGUGGGUAUCAAACAGGAUUAGAUACCCUGGUAGUCCACACAGUAAACGAUAAUCACUAGGUGUCGGGUUCGAAGAGGAUUCGGUGCCGCAGCUAACGCGUUAAGUGAUUCGCCUGGGGAGUACGAUCGCAAG